This 1405-nucleotide ribosomal RNA is filed under the name uncultured Bacilli bacterium. RNAcentral describes it as "bacterial SSU rRNA". It matches the Rfam family "Bacterial small subunit ribosomal RNA", at positions 29 to 1394 of the family's 1533-position model. The record is from RNAcentral. Lineage: Bacteria; Bacillati; Bacillota; Bacilli.
ACGAACGCUGGCGGCGUGCCUAAUACAUGCAAGUCGAACGAGCUCUCCUAAAUUGAUUUUAUGCUUGCAUAAAUGAUUUUUAGAUUCGGAGCGAGUGGCGAACUGGUGAGUAACACGUGGGUAACCUGCCCCGAAGCGGGGGAUAACAUUUGGAAACAAAUGCUAAUACCGCAUAAUUAGUUGGAACCGCAUGGUUCCAACUUGAAAGAUGGCUCUGCUAUCACUUUGGGAUGGACCCGCGCCGUAUUAGUUAGUUGGUGAGAUAAAAGCCCACCAAGACGAUGAUACGUAGCCGACCUGAGAGGGUAAUCGGCCACAUUGGGACUGAGACACGGCCCAGACUCCUACGGGAGGCAGCAGUAGGGAAUCUUCCACAAUGGACGAAAGUCUGAUGGAGCAACGCCGCGUGAGUGAUGAAGGUUUUCGGAUCGUAAAACUCUGUUGUUAAAGAAGAACAAGUGUUAGAGUAACUGUUAACACUUUGACGGUAUUUAACCAGAAAGCCACGGCUAACUACGUGCCAGCAGCCGCGGUAAUACGUAGGUGGCAAGCGUUGUCCGGAUUUAUUGGGCGUAAAGCGAGCGCAGGCGGUUUUGUAAGUCUGCUGUGAAAGCCCUCAGCUCAACUGAGGAAGUGCAGUGGAAACUACAAAACUUGAGUACAGAAGAGGAAAGUGGAACUCCAUGUGUAGCGGUGAAAUGCGUAGAUAUAUGGAAGAACACCAGUGGCGAAGGCGGCUUUCUGGUCUGUUACUGACGCUGAGGCUCGAAAGCAUGGGUAGCGAACAGGAUUAGAUACCCUGGUAGUCCAUGCCGUAAACGAUGAAUACUAGGUGUUGGAGGGUUCCGCCCUUCAGUGCCGCAGCUAACGCAUUAAGUAUUCCGCCUGGGGAGUACGACCGCAAGGUUGAAACUCAAAGGAAUUGACGGGGGCCCGCACAAGCGGUGGGGCAUGUGGUUUAAUUCGAUGCUACGCGAAGAACCUUACCAGCUCUUGACAUCUUCUGCCAACCCAAGAGAUUGGGCGUUCCCUUCGGGGACAGAAUGACAGGUGGUGCAUGGUUGUCGUCAGCUCGUGUCGUGAGAUGUUGGGUUAAGUCCCGCAACGAGCGCAACCCUUAUUAUUAGUUGCCAGCAUUUAGUUGGGCACUCUAGUGAGACUGCCGGUGAUAAACCGGAGGAAGGUGGGGACGACGUCAAAUCAUCAUGCCCCUUAUGAGCUGGGCUACACACGUGCUACAAUGGAUGGUACAACGAGUCGCGAAACCGCGAGGUCAAGCUAAUCUCUUAAAGCCAUUCUCAGUUCGGAUUGCAGGCUGCAACUCGCCUGCAUGAAGUUGGAAUCACUAGUAAUCGUGGAUCAGCAUGCCACGGUGAAUACGUUCCCGGGCCUUGUACACACCGCC